Cannabis sativa is the source of this 810-nucleotide long non-coding RNA. RefSeq lists it as uncharacterized. NCBI's taxonomy places the organism in Eukaryota, Viridiplantae, Streptophyta, Magnoliopsida, Rosales, Cannabaceae. The transcript is spliced from 3 exons. The record is from RefSeq and is a predicted model, not a curated record.
AUCACUUUUCAUCUUCUAAGUCACGAGAGCUCUCUCUGCUCUCUUUUCCCUCACCGGCGGCAGCCUUCUCCAGCCGUCCAUGCCCAAGAAAAACCUCAAGCUUGCUUUCUCUUUCUCGUCCCUCUCCCAUAUUUAUCUCUCUCUCUCUCUCUCUCUCUCUCUCUCUCUCUCUCUCUCUCUCUCUCUCUCUCUCUCUCUCUCUCUCUCUCUCUCUCUCUCUCUCUCUCUCUCUCGCUCCGCUCGACUCCACCACAAUGAGACACUUUUGACGACUUGGCCAUCUCCACCCCCUGCGAUCCUCCUCCAUUUCUCCAGUUCUCUCUCGACAGUUCAAGGUGGUGCUGAAGUUAUUUAAUACGUAUAAAUAUAAGGUGGCAAUGAGACAGACAUGAAAAAGCUUGAAGAGGCAGUCAGAAGUGUCGAGAUGGAGGGUUUAUUUUGGGGAGCAUCCAAACUUGUAGCUGUUGGGUAGGUAUCAAGAAAUUGCAGAUAAUGCUCACCAUUGUGGACGAUCUGGACUCUGUUGACUCGCUCAUUGAGGAACGUCUUACUGCUGAACCAAUUAACGAGUAUGUCCAGAGUUGUGAUAUUGUGGCCUUCAACAAAAUAUGCUCUAAGCCUGUUGUGAUUUGAUUGCAGAGAGUUUGUCAUCGGGGUUGAAGAUCUUUAUUCCUAUUUUGGUUUUUUUUUUUGGAUAUGAUCGUAUGUUGUCAAAUUCUGGAUCUAUAGUCCUAGAAAUGAGGAUUUGCCUAUACCAUUGUUAUUUUGGUAUAGUUUAUUUAUAUGUAGUUUAUGAGACGCCUGUCACAA